CCCUUAGAUGUUCUGGGCCGCACGCGCGCUACAAUGAUGAAUUCAACGAGUUUAUAACCUUGGUUGAAAAGCCUGGGUAAUCUUUUGAACUUUCGUCGUGAUGGGGCUAGACCCUUGCAAUUAUUGGUCUCCAACGAGGAAUUCCUAGUAGACGUAGUUCAUCAGACUGCAUCGAUUACGUCCCUGCCCUUUGUACACACCGCCCGUCGCUCCUACCGAUUGAAUGCUCAGGUGAGCCAUUCGGACUUUCAUCAUGCUGGUUUCCAGUUUUGAUGAAGGAAAGUCUUGCGAACCUUAUCAUUUAGAGGAAGGAGAAGUCGUAACA
This 325-nucleotide ribosomal RNA is filed under the name uncultured eukaryote. Its description in RNAcentral is "partial 18S ribosomal RNA". It matches the Rfam family "Eukaryotic small subunit ribosomal RNA", at positions 1470 to 1796 of the family's 1831-position model. The record is from RNAcentral.